This 1445-nucleotide ribosomal RNA is filed under the name uncultured marine cyanobacterium. Its description in RNAcentral is "bacterial SSU rRNA". It matches the Rfam family "Bacterial small subunit ribosomal RNA". The record is from RNAcentral. Lineage: Bacteria; Bacillati; Cyanobacteriota.
GAGUUUGAUCAUGGCUCAGGAUGAACGCUGGCGGCGUGCUUAACACAUGCAAGUCGAACGAACCUUCGGGUUAGUGGCGGACGGGUGAGUAACGCGUGGGAAUCUGCCCUCAGGAGGGGGAUAACGGUUGGAAACGACCGCUAAUACCCCAUAUGCCGAGAGGUGAAAUGAAUUUCGCCUGAGGAUGAGCCCGCGUCUGAUUAGCUUGUUGGUGAGGUAAUGGCUCACCAAGGCAUCGAUCAGUAGCUGGUCUGAGAGGAUGAUCAGCCACACUGGGACUGAGACACGGCCCAGACUCCUACGGGAGGCAGCAGUGGGGAAUUUUCCGCAAUGGGCGAAAGCCUGACGGAGCAACGCCGCGUGAGGGACGAAGGCCUCUGGGCUGUAAACCUCUUUUCUCAAGGAAGAAGAUAUGACGGUACUUGAGGAAUAAGCCGCGGCUAAUUCCGUGCCAGCAGCCGCGGUAAUACGGGAGUGGCAAGCGUUAUCCGGAAUUAUUGGGCGUAAAGCGUCCGCAGGCGGCCCUUCAAGUCUGCUGUUAAAGCGUGGAGCUUAACUCCAUCAUGGCAGUGGAAACUGAUUGGCUUGAGUAUGGUAGGGGCAGAGGGAAUUCCCGGUGUAGCGGUGAAAUGCGUAGAUAUCGGGAAGAACACCAGUGGCGAAGGCGCUCUGCUGGGCCAUUACUGACGCUCAUGGACGAAAGCCAGGGGAGCGAAAGGGAUUAGAUACCCCUGUAGUCCUGGCCGUAAACGAUGAACACUAGGUGUCGGGGGAAUCGACCCCUUCGGUGUCGUAGCUAACGCGUUAAGUGUUCCGCCUGGGGAGUACGCACGCAAGUGUGAAACUCAAAGGAAUUGACGGGGGCCCGCACAAGCGGUGGAGUAUGUGGUUUAAUUCGAUGCAACGCGAAGAACCUUACCAGGGCUUGACAUCCUGCGAACCUUUAAGAAAUUAGAGGGUGCCUUCGGGAACGCAGUGACAGGUGGUGCAUGGCUGUCGUCAGCUCGUGUCGUGAGAUGUUGGGUUAAGUCCCGCAACGAGCGCAACCCACGUUUUUAGUUGCCAGCAUUUAGUUGGGCACUCUAGAAAGACCGCCGGUGAUAAACCGGAGGAAGGUGUGGAUGACGUCAAGUCAUCAUGCCCCUUACGUCCUGGGCUACACACGUACUACAAUGCUACGGACAAAGGGCAGCAAACUCGCGAGAGCUAGCAAAUCCCAUAAACCGUGGCUCAGUUCAGAUCGUAGGCUGCAACUCGCCUACGUGAAGUAGGAAUCGCUAGUAAUCGCAGGUCAGCAUACUGCGGUGAAUACGUUCCCGGGCCUUGUACACACCGCCCGUCACACCAUGGAAGUUGGCCAUGCCCGAAGUCGUUACUUUAACCCUUGUGGAGAAGGACGCCGAAGGUGGGGCUGAUGACUGGGGUGAAGUCGUAACAAGGUAACC